UAUUAAAAAUUUCAUCCAUUUCUACUGUUAAAAAUAAACAUGACUGAUGGAAUAACCAAAUAGUUACAUGCAGCGUGCGUGUAAAAUGGAUGAAGAAACAAGUUUUUAACGGUAAAAAUGGAUGAAAUUUUUAACA
This is a non-coding RNA of Gossypium hirsutum (cotton), 136 nucleotides long. Lineage: Eukaryota; Viridiplantae; Streptophyta; Magnoliopsida; Malvales; Malvaceae. The record is from Rfam.